GGGAAGGUGGCUCAGUGGUAGAGCACUUGCCUUGCAUGCAUGAGGCCCUGGGUUCAAUUCCUCAGCACCCA
This is a non-coding RNA of Dipodomys ordii (Ord's kangaroo rat), 71 nucleotides long. The record is from Rfam. Lineage: Eukaryota; Metazoa; Chordata; Mammalia; Rodentia; Heteromyidae.